CUCCUGGUAAAGAGACCACCAUAGGGCGGAGCCCUGAGCUUCCAUCUUCCUCCUUCCUGCUAGUGAGCUUGGCCAGGGGGGCUUGGACACUUUGGAGAGGGGCCGACACACGGAUGAUGACAAAACAGAAAGAUAGUAAGAGCCUCUGGUUCCUAGUGGCCUUGUGGAUUUGCUGAACCAAGCCUUGAUGUGCUGACCUCCAGACUCGUUACACUUAACAUUUAUUAAAUGUCUUUAUUACUUAACUGUUGGUUGGUAUUUUAUGAUUUUCAGCUUAUCUUAACUGAUAUGGAUAUAAUUACUAAUGCUUGUGAGAAUGGAUGAGCCCUGAGAAGGGGGAAGAGAAAGACAAAGCCUGGAAACUUCUUUUAGCAGAUGGAAACCUUUUGCUAAUUAAACCUUAAGGUUUUUAAUCUUAAAAGCUACACAGAAAACUUGUUUUAAUUUUGAAAACAUAAUACUCCUCCUCCCCCAACACGCGCACCGGACAACCUCUCUCCUUGAACCACUCCGGGUGGUUCAAAUUCCAAAGAGCAUAUGUUUCAAAUGAAAGGUCAAAAAGGAGAUCGGUUUCAGUUUGGAGCUAAGGGAGAGUGAUUAUUUCUCUAAUGUGAGCUGCUUCCUGUUGCUAAAACACUGCCCCUUCAAAUGAGAUUGUUUGCUAAGUGAGGCAUCUCCUUCCUCUUUCUUCCUUGGAUGAAUUAGCAAGCAAGAAGAGUCAGUCUGAGGCUCCUCACUGUGACGGACUGAGGAGCUUUAUUUACUCCCUGCGGAUAGUGGCCUGCCACCAGAGAGGCCACAGGCCGGAGUGAUGGAGCUGACUCAUAGGGUAAGGAGAAAGUGGCCUGGAUCGUUGACAGAGGUAAGCAGUGUCCAAUUCCUCCUAGGCGGGGGAGGGAGAGGUUAUGGCAAAGAAAGCCGUUUCUAUUCCACUGGGCAAUUAAUGCCACCAUUUUUCUUGAAAAAGCGUUUUUUUUUUCAUAAGCCGUUGAGGAUAAUUUAACCCCCAUCUUGACAGGACGUACUAAUGACCGCUAAUGGAUACAUUCUUUUAAUAAAUGAAGAGGCACAAGAAAAUUGCCAGAUAUUAAACAGAGUCCCACAUGUCUUAUCUGAGACUAUAAUGGCUCUAUCAAGUGACCCAAGUGAAAGAAAUGUCACUCUUCAGAGGUUAAAGGAGUCUAUUUUUUCUUAGUGCGAUAUAAAUUCAUGGCUAGAAAGAACAGUAAUUCAUUGGUCUACCCUAGGAAAUGUUUAAAGGGGGCUGUAUCUCAAAUGAUGCAUUUUCUAUCGGUAGUAAAGAAAAUAUGAAAUAGGUACCUCUGUGCACUGUGGAUUUAUGUAAAUGGCUUUUUACCAGGUAAUAUAGCCUAAAGCUCUGUCAAGUCUCUAACGCUUGGAAUUUUUGGCAAAGAAAUGAAAGAACCUGUAAGUUAUCAUUAUUUUAUUUUAUUUUUUUCAAUACCUUCCAGGGUGUGGUCUUUUUGUUUGGUAAUUUUAAACUACAUUCUUGAAAAAGUUUCUCAAGAUUCAAGCAAUUCCUAGGACUGUAUGUACACUUGGGGAACAUUUCUUAAAAUACAUAACGAAUUCAAAUUAAUAAGAAAAAGACAACCCAGAAGAAAAAUGGACACGUGAAUUAAUCAGAAACUCAAGAGGUAAUGGCCAAUAAUCCUAUGAAAAGGUGAAUGAUGUGUAUGGUGGUCUUCUGCAACUUGCCUUUCUGCCUUUCCUUCUUUCCUUCCUUCCUUCCUUCCUCUCUCUUUCUUUUUCUUUCUUUCUCUCUCUCUCUUUUUUUUUUUUGAGACAGAGUCUCACUGCUCUGUCGCCCAGGCUGGAGUGCAGUGGCACAAUCUCGGCUCACUGCAACCUCCGCCUCCGGGGUUCAAGUGAUUCUUGUGCCUCAGCCUCCUGAGUAGCUGGGACCACCAGCCUGCACCACCACGCCAGCUAAUUUAAGGAGGUGAACCUGAUUGCAGAGUGCGUAGCUCUGGAGGCUGGGGGCCCAUUUUAGAUGAAAUGAAGUCGUUCAUGUGCAACUGCAACAGUUUGACUGAAGGAGUGAAAGGAAGAGUGGAAAUGAUGAGUCAGAAUGGCAGACUUUUGACAAAGUUUUGCCAUGUUGGCCAGGCUUGUCUCAAAACCCCUGACCUCAAGUGAUCCGCUCGCCUUGGCCUCCUGAAGUGCUGGGAUUACAGUUGUGAGCCACCGUGCCUGACCCAAAUGCCAUUUUCUUUCUUUCUUUUUUCCUGAGACAGAGUCUCGCUCUGUCACCAGGCUGGAGUGCUGUGGCGCGAUUUCGGCUCUCUGAAACCUCCACCUCCUGGGUUAGAGGAAUUCUCCUGCCACAGCCUCCUGAAUAGCUGGGACUACAGGUGUACACCACCACGCCCAGCUAAUUUUUUGUAUUUUUAGUAGAGACGGGGUUUUGCCAUGUUGGUCAGGAUGGUCUUGAUCUCCUGACCUCGUGAUCCACCCGCCUGGGCCUCCCAGAGUGCUGGGAUUACAGAUGUGAGCCACCGCACCCGGCCCCAACUGCCAUUUUCAAUAUAACACUAUGCCUCUGCGUUUGAUCCAUCCAUGGUAUCGUGUGUAGCAACAUCAUUUUCACUAUGGUAAUUAUUCAGUGGAGGAACAUUCCACAAUUUUGUUCUCCCUACAUGUAGCAUGGUUCCAUAUUUAGAAAGCUCAAAUACAGCUUAAAAUUAUAAAAUGGAUUGUGUAUGGAUAUAUACAUACCUGACAAAACUGCUUAAAACAAGCAAAAUCACAAUAAAAACCAUCUUCAAGAUAAUGUUUUCUUCAUGGAGAGGGAGACUGACACUGAGGAGAGGAUGGGAAAUGUAUCAGUUAUCUAUAGCUAUGUAAAGACCCACCCUAAAAUAGUGGCUUAAAACAACCAGUUAUUGUUCAUGAUUCUCUGGGUCAAGACUUCAGGCAAGGCUUGGUGGGGAUGGCUUGUCUCUGGCUCACUCAUGUGUCUGCGUUCAGCUGGGCUGGUGGGUCCAAGAUGGCCUCACCCUCAAGGCUGGGGCCUUGGUGCUGUGUGUCGGCUGGAGUUUCUCAGACUUCCUCCAUGUGGCUUCUCUCUUCAUGUAGAGUUUCAUCUUUUGUUCCAUGUUCUUUUCCCUCCAAGAGGUUAGCCUGGAGUUCUUUACAAGGAGAAAUCAUCCACUAAUAUUUGUAUAACUAAAACUUGAUGGCAAUUAAAAUAUAUUAACAAAGGUGUGCUCUGUGGUCCAAUAUUGUUGGGAAAUGUUGCAUAUGGCUUCUCCUUGUGGAGCUUCCACUGCAAACAGAACAGAAAGCUUACUAAAGUCUCUGAGAGGUCUUGCAUGGAGCAAAGAAAGACAAAAGGCGAGAUGCUACGUCUUUUUUCCAGGGAUAUAUAAAGGAAGGGCUGGGUUAGAUAAAGCAAGAAGGCUUUGGCUUGCCUUAUGAGAACAUCAUCAUCAUCUUAACUCUGCUAUUCCUGUACCCAUCAGAGUCCCAGUAUAACUGCAGGUGGCUCCAAUUGCCAAGGCGUCUGAACACUCCUAAAACCUGUAGGAAGUAGCCACUAGGCCAAAGGGUCAACAGUGCUUUUCCAGGAGUCAGGUCAUUUAUGUUUCUGCCUCUCUCCACCGUCCUGCCAGUG
RNAcentral lists this long non-coding RNA (3637 nucleotides) under Homo sapiens (human). Its description in RNAcentral is "non-protein coding lnc-GALNT15-8:1". The record is from RNAcentral. Lineage: Eukaryota; Metazoa; Chordata; Mammalia; Primates; Hominidae.